Syngnathus typhle (broad-nosed pipefish) is the source of this 1492-nucleotide long non-coding RNA. RefSeq lists it as uncharacterized. NCBI's taxonomy places the organism in Eukaryota, Metazoa, Chordata, Actinopteri, Syngnathiformes, Syngnathidae. The record is from RefSeq and is a predicted model, not a curated record. The transcript has 2 exons.
AUUCCUGCACUGCGCUAUUGGACGCCGUUUGAUGUGAAUGACUUGCAGCUAGUUGCUCUACUCGUGUCUGUCCACCACAGCGUGACGUGUUGGCGCUUGGCAGCCAGCACACCAAAGUCUUGAAGUUUGGCGAGAGGCGUGACUUGUGCCAUGUUUCACUGACUAUGCUAAAAUGUUCAAAGUGACGUUAGAUUUGUGUUGAAGUCAAUUCUUCUGCCACUAGGUGGCAUUAGCGUCUGAUGUUGGACAUUGGACCGGACCACUAGAGUUUUCUUUUCAACAACCAGAGGACUGACUAUAGUGUAUUGGAAUCACUUGAGUGAGUCAGACAGAUCAGUGGCAAUUUUGUCAUGCUGAGCUAGGAUGUGUGACGCACGCGCUAGCACACUUCUUCCUGGCACCUGUCACAGGCGCACACCAAAAUAGCAGCAGGCGGAGGCUGGAGAGGCCGCUCAACAAUUCCCAGCAACCACCACGUACAAAGCGCAACGAACCCAGUCAUCGCACAUGCCGUAGAAACAGCUGAAAAGGGCCAUGGUGGCUUAGCUCUCGGGGCCACCGUCUGCAGCGACCAACAGAGUCCUGACCAACAGAGUCCUGAGUCCAGAGUGGGACGGACCGACCGACGGACGGACGGACGGGGAAGUGGGCUCAUGUGUCAGAACUCGGGACGCGGUACCUAACCCAACCCCCUUCACCCCCCAUCCCUUGAGGCACGGACCCGGAUCACAGAUUCGACAAGAAGGAUGCACGCCAGCCUAAAUCUGAAUGAUUCUAAUUAUUUACAUUCAGGAUUUAUGUUUGACCAAGGACACCUUCUUCAUAACCCUAAUGCCAAAGGCACUUCAACACUAAAAGAUGUUGGGUUUUUUUUUUCCGGCUUUGAACGACGACAAAGCAUUGAGAAAACAGAAACGACAUCAUUUCUAAAAGCGAGCUAAUAAAUAAAUGGGGGAAAAGUGAGGGUUAUUUUCAUCGUGGUACCCAUGCUCCCUCCAGUGGUUUGAAAAAGAAUCGCAGGACAAAUGCAAACUGAAUUGUAUUGAACGUUUUCAUAGAAUCCCUUGGCAUUUCAUUCUUAAAACGUAACGAGGUUUUACUUGUGGUUUAUCUCGAUUUGAUUUUGUGAUUAUUUUUCAGUCCUAUAGUAUUGAUAUACAGUAUCGAUCUUCAAACUGUGUAUAAUGUCGGAAUCCCUGAACCUAAAAAGUGCAACAGAACAUGAGCAAAAACUUACUGUGCUGUUACACAUAAGCCCUGUGAGGGGCGCUGUUGUCCAGGUUAGGGUUUAAAACUCAACGAAAGCAAGAACACGCAAUGAGGUGAAUUUCCUCAAAUAAACAAAAGUUUCAUGAGAAUAAUUUUCGUUGUUGUUGUUGUUGUUGUUCUAAAGAGUUUGUGAGUGUGUUGAAGGAAAUAUUUCUGACUGCAUUAUAUUCAGUAUGCUUUUCGAAACCUAAAAUAGAUAUUAAAAUGCAUUUUACCAACUGAA